GGGCCCGCACAAGCGGUGGAGCAUGUGGUUUAAUUCGAUGCAACGCGAAGAACCUUACCUACUCUUGACAUCCAGAGAACUUUUCAGAGAUGAAUUGGUGCCUUCGGGAACUCUGAGACAGGUGCUGCAUGGCUGUCGUCAGCUCGUGUUGUGAAAUGUUGGGUUAAGUCCCGCAACGAGCGCAACCCUUAUCCUUGUUUGCCAGCGAGUAAUGUCGGGAACUCCAGGGAGACUGCCGGUGAUAAACCGGAGGAAGGUGGGGACGACGUCAAGUCAUCAUGGCCCUUACGAGUAGGGCUACACACGUGCUACAAUGGCGCAUACAGAGGGCAGCCAACUUGCGAAAGUGAGCGAAUCCCAAAAAGUGCGUCGUAGUCCGGAUCGGAGUCUGCAACUCGACUCCGUGAAGUCGGAAUCGCUAGUAAUCG
RNAcentral lists this ribosomal RNA (428 nucleotides) under uncultured bacterium. RNAcentral's name for it is "bacterial SSU rRNA". It matches the Rfam family "Bacterial small subunit ribosomal RNA", at positions 917 to 1344 of the family's 1533-position model. The record is from RNAcentral.